RNAcentral lists this ribosomal RNA (2903 nucleotides) under Escherichia coli STEC_94C. RNAcentral's name for it is "bacterial LSU rRNA". It matches the Rfam family "Bacterial large subunit ribosomal RNA". Lineage: Bacteria; Pseudomonadati; Pseudomonadota; Gammaproteobacteria; Enterobacterales; Enterobacteriaceae. The record is from RNAcentral.
UUAAGCGACUAAGCGUACACGGUGGAUGCCCUGGCAGUCAGAGGCGAUGAAGGACGUGCUAAUCUGCGAUAAGCGUCGGUAAGGUGAUAUGAACCGUUAUAACCGGCGAUUUCCGAAUGGGGAAACCCAGUGUGAUUCGUCACACUAUCAUUAACUGAAUCCAUAGGUUAAUGAGGCGAACCGGGGGAACUGAAACAUCUAAGUACCCCGAGGAAAAGAAAUCAACCGAGAUUCCCCCAGUAGCGGCGAGCGAACGGGGAGCAGCCCAGAGCCUGAAUCAGUGUGUGUGUUAGUGGAAGCGUCUGGAAAGGCGCGCGAUACAGGGUGACAGCCCCGUACACAAAAAUGCACAUACUGUGAGCUCGAUGAGUAGGGCGGGACACGUGGUAUCCUGUCUGAACAUGGGGGGACCAUCCUCCAAGGCUAAAUACUCCUGACUGACCGAUAGUGAACCAGUACCGUGAGGGAAAGGCGAAAAGAACCCCGGCGAGGGGAGUGAAAAAGAACCUGAAACCGUGUACGUACAAGCAGUGGGAGCACAGAGCAAUCUGUGUGACUGCGUACCUUUUGUAUAAUGGGUCAGCGACUUAUAUUCUGUAGCAAGGUUAACCGAAUAGGGGAGCCGAAGGGAAACCGAGUCUUAACUGGGCGUUAAGUUGCAGGGUAUAGACCCGAAACCCGGUGAUCUAGCCAUGGGCAGGUUGAAGGUUGGGUAACACUAACUGGAGGACCGAACCGACUAAUGUUGAAAAAUUAGCGGAUGACUUGUGGCUGGGGGUGAAAGGCCAAUCAAACCGGGAGAUAGCUGGUUCUCCCCGAAAGCUAUUUAGGUAGCGCCUCGUGAAUUCAUCUCCGGGGGUAGAGCACUGUUUCGGCAAGGGGGUCAUCCCGACUUACCAACCCGAUGCAAACUGCGAAUACCGGAGAAUGUUAUCACGGGAGACACACGGCGGGUGCUAACGUCCGUCGUGAAGAGGGAAACAACCCAGACCGCCAGCUAAGGUCCCAAAGUCAUGGUUAAGUGGGAAACGAUGUGGGAAGGCCCAGACAGCCAGGAUGUUGGCUUAGAAGCAGCCAUCAUUUAAAGAAAACGUAAUAGCUCACUGGUCGAGUCGGCCUGCGCGGAAGAUGUAACGGGGCUAAACCAUGCACCGAAGCUGCGGCAGCGACGCUUAUGCGUUGUUGGGUAGGGGAGCGUUCUGUAAGCCUGCGAAGGUGUGCUGUGAGGCAUGCUGGAGGUAUCAGAAGUGCGAAUGCUGACAUAAGUAACGAUAAAGCGGGUGAAAAGCCCGCUCGCCGGAAGACCAAGGGUUCCUGUCCAACGUUAAUCGGGGCAGGGUGAGUCGACCCCUAAGGCGAGGCCGAAAGGCGUAGUCGAUGGGAAACAGGUUAAUAUUCCUGUACUUGGUGCUACUGCGAAGGGGGGACGGAGAAGGCUAUGUUGGCCGGGCGACGGUUGUCCCGGUUUAAGCGUGUAGGCUGGUUUUCCAGGCAAAUCCGGAAAACUAAGGCUGAGGCGUGAUGACGAGGCACUACGGUGCUGAAGCAACAAAUGCCCUGCUUCCAGGAAAAGCCUCUAAGCAUCAGGUAACAUCAAAUCGUACCCAAACCGACACAGGUGGUCAGGUAGAGAAUACCAAGGCGCUUGAGAGAACUCGGGUGAAGGAACUAGGCAAAAUGGUGCCGUAACUUCGGGAGAAGGCACGCUGAUAUGUAGGUGAAGCGACUUGCUCGUGGAGCUGAAAUCAGUCGAAGAUACCAGCUGGCUGCAACUGUUUAUUAAAAACACAGCACUGUGCAAACACGAAAGUGGACGUAUACGGUGUGACGCCUGCCCGGUGCCGGAAGGUUAAUUGAUGGGGUCAGCGCAAGCGAAGCUCUUGAUCGAAGCCCCGGUAAACGGCGGCCGUAACUAUAACGGUCCUAAGGUAGCGAAAUUCCUUGUCGGGUAAGUUCCGACCUGCACGAAUGGCGUAAUGAUGGCCAGGCUGUCUCCACCCGAGACUCAGUGAAAUUGAACUCGCUGUGAAGAUGCAGUGUACCCGCGGCAAGACGGAAAGACCCCGUGAACCUUUACUAUAGCUUGACACUGAACAUUGAGCCUUGAUGUGUAGGAUAGGUGGGAGGCUUUGAAGUGUGGACGCCAGUCUGCAUGGAGCCGACCUUGAAAUACCACCCUUUAAUGUUUGAUGUUCUAACGUUGACCCGUAAUCCGGGUUGCGGACAGUGUCUGGUGGGUAGUUUGACUGGGGCGGUCUCCUCCUAAAGAGUAACGGAGGAGCACGAAGGUUGGCUAAUCCUGGUCGGACAUCAGGAGGUUAGUGCAAUGGCAUAAGCCAGCUUGACUGCGAGCGUGACGGCGCGAGCAGGUGCGAAAGCAGGUCAUAGUGAUCCGGUGGUUCUGAAUGGAAGGGCCAUCGCUCAACGGAUAAAAGGUACUCCGGGGAUAACAGGCUGAUACCGCCCAAGAGUUCAUAUCGACGGCGGUGUUUGGCACCUCGAUGUCGGCUCAUCACAUCCUGGGGCUGAAGUAGGUCCCAAGGGUAUGGCUGUUCGCCAUUUAAAGUGGUACGCGAGCUGGGUUUAGAACGUCGUGAGACAGUUCGGUCCCUAUCUGCCGUGGGCGCUGGAGAACUGAGGGGGGCUGCUCCUAGUACGAGAGGACCGGAGUGGACGCAUCACUGGUGUUCGGGUUGUCAUGCCAAUGGCACUGCCCGGUAGCUAAAUGCGGAAGAGAUAAGUGCUGAAAGCAUCUAAGCACGAAACUUGCCCCGAGAUGAGUUCUCCCUGACUCCUUGAGAGUCCUGAAGGAACGUUGAAGACGACGACGUUGAUAGGCCGGAUGUGUAAGCGCAGCGAUGCGUUGAGCUAACCGGUACUAAUGAACCGUGAGGCUUAACCUU